This 792-nucleotide ribosomal RNA is filed under the name uncultured archaeon. RNAcentral describes it as "bacterial SSU rRNA". It matches the Rfam family "Archaeal small subunit ribosomal RNA", at positions 85 to 879 of the family's 1478-position model. The record is from RNAcentral.
ACGGCUCAGUAACACGUGGGUAACCUAACCUAUGCAGGGGAAUAACCUCGGGAAACUGAGAAUAAUGCCCCAUAGUCCACUACGCCUGGAACGGUGAGUGGAUAAAAGCUCAGGCGGCAUAGGAUGGGCCUGCGGCGUAUCAGGUUGUAGGGGGUGUAAAGUACCCUCUAGCCCUCUACGCGUACGGGUGUUGGGAGACAUAGCCCGGAGAUGGAUUCUGAGACACGAAUCCAGACCCUACGGGGUGCAGCAGGCGCGAAAACUUGGCAAUGCGAGCAAUCGUGACCAGGGAACUCCAAGUGGCUGGGGUAAGACCCAGUCUUUUCAGAACUCUUCAAAGGUUUUAGAAUAAGGGGUGGGUAAGGACGGUGCCAGCCGCCGCGGUAAUACCGGCGCCUCAAGUGGUAGUCGCUUUUAUUGGGCCUAAAACGUCCGUAGCCGGUUUGGUACAUUCGUGGGUAAAUCAACUCGCUCAACGAGUUGAAUUCUGCGAGGACGGCCAGACUUGGGACCGGGAGAGGUGUGGGGUACUCUCAGGGUAGGGGUAAAAUCCUGUCAUCCUGAGAGGACCACCUGUUGCGAAGGCGCCACACUAGAACGGAUCCGACGGUCAGGGACGAAGCCUAGGGGCACGAACCGGAUUAGAUACCCGGGUAGUCCUAGGUGUAAACGCUGUGGACUUGAUGUUGGAGGAGCUCCGAGCUCUUUCAGUGUCGAAGCGAAGGUGAUAAGUCCACUGCCUGGGAAGUACGGUCGCAAGGCUGAAACUUAAAGGAAUUGGCGGGGGAGCAC